GGCUUUGGGCCUGUAGCUCAGGUGGUUAGAGCGCACGCCUGAUAAGCGUGAGGUCGGACGUUCAAGUCGUCCCAGGC
This 77-nucleotide transfer RNA is filed under the name Pararhodospirillum photometricum DSM 122. RNAcentral's name for it is "tRNA-Ile". It matches the Rfam family "tRNA". From Rfam's summary of the family: Transfer RNA (tRNA) molecules are approximately 80 nucleotides in length. Their secondary structure includes four short double-helical elements and three loops (D, anti-codon, and T loops). Lineage: Bacteria; Pseudomonadati; Pseudomonadota; Alphaproteobacteria; Rhodospirillales; Rhodospirillaceae. The record is from RNAcentral.